UACGUAGGGUGCAAGCGUUGUCCGGAAUUAUUGGGCGUAAAGAGCUCGUAGGUGGCGGGUCACGUCGGGUGUGAAAGCCCGGGGCUUAACCCCGGGUCUGCAUUCGAUACGGGUCUGCUGGGGUCCGGCAGGGGAGACUGGAAUUCCUGGUGUAGCGGUGAAAUGCGCAGAUAUCAGGAGGAACACCGGUGGCGAAAGCGGCGCACUGGACCACAACUGACGCUGAGGCGCGAAAGCUAGGGGAGCAAACAGG
Molecule: ribosomal RNA, 253 nt
Filed under: uncultured bacterium
Lineage: Bacteria
Description: partial 16S ribosomal RNA
Rfam family: Bacterial small subunit ribosomal RNA
Source: RNAcentral